UACGGAGGGGGCUAGCGUUGUUCGGAAUUACUGGGCGUAAAGCGCGCGUAGGCGGACCUGCAAGUCGGGGGUGAAAUCCUGGAGCUCAACUCCAGAACUGCCUUCGAUACUGGGAAACUUGAGUUCGGGAGAGGUGAGUGGAACUGCGAGUGUAGAGGUGAAAUUCGUAGAUAUUCGCAAGAACACCAGUGGCGAAGGCGGCUCACUGGCCCGAUACUGACGCUGAGGUGCGAAAGCGUGGGGAGCAAACAGG
RNAcentral lists this ribosomal RNA (253 nucleotides) under uncultured bacterium. RNAcentral describes it as "partial 16S ribosomal RNA". It matches the Rfam family "Bacterial small subunit ribosomal RNA", at positions 524 to 776 of the family's 1533-position model. The record is from RNAcentral.